This 315-nucleotide ribosomal RNA is filed under the name uncultured bacterium. RNAcentral's name for it is "bacterial SSU rRNA". It matches the Rfam family "Bacterial small subunit ribosomal RNA", at positions 198 to 507 of the family's 1533-position model. The record is from RNAcentral.
GGGGAUCUUCGGACCUCGCGCUAUUGGAUGAGCCCGCGUCGGAUUAGCUGUUGGUAGGGUAACGGCCUACCAAGGCGACGAUCCGCAGCUGGUCUGAGAGGACGAUCAGCCACACUGGGACUGAGACACGGCCCAGACUCCUACGGGAGGCAGCAGUGGGAAUAUUGGACAAUGGGCGAAAGCCUGAUCCAGCAAUGCCGCGUGUGUGAAGAAGGCCCUAGGGUUGUAAAGCACUUUCAGUUGGGAAGAAAAGCAGAGUGCUAAUACCACUCUGUCAUGACGUUACCGACAGAAGAAGCACCGGCUAACUCCGUG